RNAcentral lists this ribosomal RNA (612 nucleotides) under Triticum aestivum (bread wheat). RNAcentral describes it as "partial small subunit ribosomal RNA". The record is from RNAcentral. Lineage: Eukaryota; Viridiplantae; Streptophyta; Magnoliopsida; Poales; Poaceae.
AUGUGUCUUUUUUUUGUAGUGCUACCUCUGAAGAUCAGGAUCUUUCUGUGGCAAUGGAUUCGUGGACGCCUCCCCUCCGGGGUUGAAGUCCUCAAGCAUAACGGCCCGGGCAAUGGGAGGUGUCCCAUCUGUGGCACGAUCGAGGAUGCUAACCACAUCUUCUUCUCGUGCUCUAUUGCCUAGUUCCUGUGGGCUUGCUUCCGCGAAACGGUCGGUGGACAGUGGUGCAAUACCAACUUCCCCGACUUACAUGCGGAACUCAACGCUUCCCCUACUCGCUACCGCCAUAUUAGAUGGCUGUGCGUUGGGGUCCUCGCCUGGACGCUUUGGAACAUUCGCAAUAAGCUUGUCAUUCAGAAGGUGCCUCUUCGACGUGCGACUGAUGCUAUCUUCAAAAUGUGUGGUUACUUGCAGCUUUGGCGGCCGCUUAGCCGCCCCCAGGAUCGGGACGUCAUCACCACCCUCCUCACCGGCCUUCGCUCGAUGGCUCUCCGCAUGCCCCCCCGCCCCUGCGGUCGCCCCCUCCGCCAGAGCCAGACUAGGCCGUCUGGUAGCUUUGUGGUGUGUGUGUUUUUGUGUUUAGGGCUUGUUGUGUUGUGCCCUCAGCAUUGA